This 484-nucleotide ribosomal RNA is filed under the name uncultured bacterium. Its description in RNAcentral is "partial 16S ribosomal RNA". It matches the Rfam family "Bacterial small subunit ribosomal RNA", at positions 30 to 507 of the family's 1533-position model. The record is from RNAcentral.
AUUGAACGCUGGCGGCAGGCCUAACACAUGCAAGUCGAGCGGAUGAAGGGAGCUUGCUCCUGGAUUCAGCGGCGGACGGGUGAGUAAUGCCUAGGAAUCUGCCUGGUAGUGGGGGAUAACGUCCGGAAACGGGCGCUAAUACCGCAUACGUCCUGAGGGAGAAAGUGGGGGAUCUUCGGACCUCACGCUAUCAGAUGAGCCUAGGUCGGAUUAGCUAGUUGGUGGGGUAAAGGCCUACCAAGGCGACGAUCCGUAACUGGUCUGAGAGGAUGAUCAGUCACACUGGAACUGAGACACGGUCCAGACUCCUACGGGAGGCAGCAGAGGGGAAUAUUGGACAAUGGGCGCAAGCCUGAUCCAGCCAUGCCGCGUGUGUGAAGAAGGUCUUCGGAUUGUAAAGCACUUUAAGUUGGGAGGAAGGGCAGUAAGUUAAUACCUUGCUGUUUUGACGUUACCAACAGAAUAAGCACCGGCUAACUUCGUG